CACAUCUCUCUCACAGGAGGCUGACCUCUGAGGAAGAGGAGGUGUAGCCUAGAAGAUGACACUGUUGGGUCUUCUGUACCUGGUGACAGCCCUUCCUGGUAUCCUGUCCCAGGUACAGCUUCAGGAGUCAGGGCCUGGCCUGGUGAAGCCCUCUCAAUCACUGUCCCUCACCUGCUCUGUCACUGGUUACUCCAUCACCAGUGGUUCUACAUGGAACUGGAUCAGACAGUCCUCAGGGAAGAAGCUGGAGUGGAUGGGGUACAUAAAUAGUGCUGGUGGCACCGUCUACAACCCAUCCCUGCAGAGCCGCAUCUCCAUCACAAGAGAAACAUCCAAGAACCAGUUCUUCCUGCAGCUGAACUCUGUGACCACUGAGGACACAGCCAUAUAUUACUGUGCAAGAGGCACAGUGAGGAGACUUCAGCAUGAGCCCAGACACAAACCUCCCUGCAGAGGAGCUCUGGACCAGCAGGGGGCAAUCAGCUCUUACCAAGUCCAGGAAUUCAGAGCUGGAAGGAAAAACUGGUUUUCUCUGUUUUUGCUUCUCACUUCCUCAGGGGAGCUUGGAACAACAGUGGCACUUAACAACUACAGAAGCUACUCAGAACUACUAGAUGCCCCGCACAUCAUAGUCAGUUCUGAACUUCCACCACGGGCUUCCUCAGGGACAAAAUUGUAA
This is a non-coding RNA of Peromyscus leucopus (white-footed mouse), 679 nucleotides long. The record is from the annotation of a RefSeq genome assembly. Lineage: Eukaryota; Metazoa; Chordata; Mammalia; Rodentia; Cricetidae.